This 497-nucleotide ribosomal RNA is filed under the name uncultured bacterium. Its description in RNAcentral is "partial 16S ribosomal RNA". It matches the Rfam family "Bacterial small subunit ribosomal RNA", at positions 28 to 507 of the family's 1533-position model. The record is from RNAcentral.
GAUGAACGCUGGCGGCGUGCCUAAUACAUGCAAGUCGAGCGAACAGACGAGGAGCUUGCUCCUUCGACGUUAGCGGCGGACGGGUGAGUAACACGUAGGUAACCUACCUAUAAGACUGGGAUAACUUCGGGAAACCGGAGCUAAUACCGGAUAAUAUUUCGAACCGCAUGGUUCGAUAGUGAAAGAUGGCUUUGCUAUCACUUAUAGAUGGAUCUGCGCCGUAUUAGCUAGUUGGUAAGGUAACGGCUUACCAAGGCAACGAUACGUAGCCGACCUGAGAGGGUGAUCGGCCACACUGGAACUGAGACACGGUCCAGACUCCUACGGGAGGCAGCAGUAGGGGAUCUUCCGCAAUGGGCGAAAGCCUGACGGAGCAACGCCGCGUGAGUGAUGAAGGUCUUCGGAUCGUAAAACUCUGUUAUUAGGGAAGAACAAACGUGUAAGUAACUGUGCACGUCUUGACGGUACCUAAUCAGAAAGCCACGGCUAACUACGUG